UACGUAGGGUGCGAGCGUUGUCCGGAUUUAUUGGGCGUAAAGAGCUCGUAGGCGGUUUGUCGCGUCGGCCGUGAAAUCUCCACGCUUAACGUGGAGCGUGCGGUCGAUACGGGCAGACUUGAGUUCGGUAGGGGAGACUGGAAUUCCUGGUGUAGCGGUGAAAUGCGCAGAUAUCAGGAGGAACAGCCGGUGGCGAAGGCGGAUCUCUGGGCCUGUCCUGACGCUCAGGCGCGAAAGCUAGGGGAGCAAACAGG
Molecule: ribosomal RNA, 254 nt
Filed under: uncultured bacterium
Lineage: Bacteria
Description: partial 16S ribosomal RNA
Rfam family: Bacterial small subunit ribosomal RNA
Source: RNAcentral